This 330-nucleotide ribosomal RNA is filed under the name uncultured bacterium. RNAcentral's name for it is "bacterial SSU rRNA". It matches the Rfam family "Bacterial small subunit ribosomal RNA", at positions 568 to 898 of the family's 1533-position model. The record is from RNAcentral.
CGCGUAGGCGGUAAUGUAAGUCAGACGUGAAAUCCUUCGGCUCAACUGAAGAACUGCGUCUGAAACUGCAUGACUAGAGUGCAGAAGAGGGAAACGGAAUUCCAGGUGUAGAGGUGAAAUUCGUAGAUAUCUGGAGGAACACCGGUGGCGAAGGCGGUUUCCUGGUCUGACACUGACGCUGAGGCGCGAAAGCGUGGGGAGCAAACAGGAUUAGAUACCCUGGUAGUCCACGCCGUAAACGGUGGGUACUGGGUGUGGGAGGUGUAAUGCCUUCUGUGCCGAAGCUAACGCGUUAAGUACCCGCCUGGGGAGUACGGCCGCAAGGUUGAA